CGUUGUGAAGCGCCUUUGUGGUGUGGAGGCGGGGUGUGUCCGAUUUUUGAGAACUCAACAGCGUGCACUAUGUUCAAUGCCAAUUUUAUAUCCUGGCUUGGUCUUCGGAUCGGGUUGGGUUUCCUUUGGAAAUUGAUGUCAGUUUCCGGCUUUCGGGUCGGAGGGAUGUCUUAUUUGCUAGAGGUCAAACUUGAUUCUCCUUCUCUUCGGGGUUGGGGGUCGUAUUUUUUUACGGAGAGUUUGAUCCUGGCUCAGGACGAACGCUGGCGGCGUGCUUAACACAUGCAAGUCGAACGAUGAAGCCUGGCUUGCUGGGUGGAUUAGUGGCGAACGGGUGAGUAACACGUGAGUAACCUGCCCUUGACUCUGGGAUAAGCGCUGGAAACGGCGUCUAAUACCGGAUACGACCUGCCCCGGCAUCGGGUGUGGGUGGAAAGUUUUUCGGUCAAGGAUGGACUCGCGGCCUAUCAGCUUGUUGGUGAGGUAAUGGCUUACCAAGGCGACGACGGGUAGCCGGCCUGAGAGGGUGACCGGCCACACUGGGACUGAGACACGGCCCAGACUCCUACGGGAGGCAGCAGUGGGGAAUAUUGCACAAUGGGCGAAAGCCUGAUGCAGCAACGCCGCGUGGGGGAUGACGGCCUUCGGGUUGUAAACCUCUUUUAGUAGGGAAGAAGGGCUUCGGCUUGACGGUACCUGCAGAAAAAGCACCGGCUAACUACGUGCCAGCAGCCGCGGUAAUACGUAGGGUGCAAGCGUUGUCCGGAAUUAUUGGGCGUAAAGAGCUCGUAGGCGGUUUGUCGCGUCUGCUGUGAAAACCCGAGGCUCAACCUCGGGCCUGCAGUGGGUACGGGCAGACUAGAGUGCGGUAGGGGAGAAUGGAAUUCCUGGUGUAGCGGUGGAAUGCGCAGAUAUCAGGAGGAACACCGAUGGCGAAGGCAGUUCUCUGGGCCGUUACUGACGCUGAGGAGCGAAAGCGUGGGGAGCGAACAGGAUUAGAUACCCUGGUAGUCCACGCCGUAAACGUUGGGAACUAGAUGUGGGGGCCUUUCCACGGUCUCCGUGUCGCAGCUAACGCAUUAAGUUCCCCGCCUGGGGAGUACGGCCGCAAGGCUAAAACUCAAAGGAAUUGACGGGGGCCCGCACAAGCGGCGGAGCAUGCGGAUUAAUUCGAUGCAACGCGAAGAACCUUACCAAGGCUUGACAUAUACCGGAAACUUCCAGAGAUGGUUGCCCCGCAAGGUCGGUAUACAGGUGGUGCAUGGUUGUCGUCAGCUCGUGUCGUGAGAUGUUGGGUUAAGUCCCGCAACGAGCGCAACCCUCGUUCUAUGUUGCCAGCACGUGAUGGUGGGAACUCAUAGGAGACUGCCGGGGUCAACUCGGAGGAAGGUGGGGAUGACGUCAAAUCAUCAUGCCCCUUAUGUCUUGGGCUUCACGCAUGCUACAAUGGCCGGUACAAAGGGCUGCGAUACCGUAAGGUGGAGCGAAUCCCAAAAAGCCGGUCUCAGUUCGGAUUGAGGUCUGCAACUCGACCUCAUGAAGUCGGAGUCGCUAGUAAUCGCAGAUCAGCAACGCUGCGGUGAAUACGUUCCCGGGCCUUGUACACACCGCCCGUCAAGUCAUGAAAGUCGGUAACACCCGAAGCCAGUGGCCUAACCGUAAGGAGGGAGCUGUCGAAGGUGGGAUCGGUGAUUAGGACUAAGUCGUAACAAGGUAGCCGUACCGGAAGGUGCGGCUGGAUCACCUCCUUUCU
RNAcentral lists this ribosomal RNA (1753 nucleotides) under Rathayibacter iranicus. RNAcentral's name for it is "bacterial SSU rRNA". The stretch from base 229 to 1751 matches the Rfam family "Bacterial small subunit ribosomal RNA". The record is from RNAcentral. Lineage: Bacteria; Bacillati; Actinomycetota; Actinomycetes; Micrococcales; Microbacteriaceae.